AGAAUAUGAAAAAAUAAAAAAAAGAACAUUAUUUAAAAUAUUAUUAACUGUUUUUAUUAAAACGUUAUUUGAAUCUUUUUUACAACCGUUAUUACCAUAUUAUAUUUUAAAUUACUAUGAUAUAAAAGUAAAAGAACUGGGAAUAUUACUGAGUAUACAUUCAUUAUCUCAGUGUGCUAUGUGUUUGAUAACAGGUUUUUUUUCUUCUGUAAAUAAAAAACACUUAAUGAUAUUUUUAAUCAUAUUUAAUUUAUUUGGCUUAUAUCUAUUCUAUUUAGAAAAACAAACUUUUUUUAUAUUAGCUAUUAAUCGCCUCAUAUGUGGGAGUAGUUCAAUUUUUAUAGUAGUAGUUAAUGCAGUAAUUAAUGAUUUAGUAGAGAGUGACAAAGUAUGUACUUAUUAUACAUAUAUAAACAUAUUUAACGCUUUUGGUAUGAUAUUAGGCCCAUUAUUAUCUUCUAUAUUCUUAACUGUAUUCGACUUCAAUAUCAUAUUACAUUUUAAUACGAUAGGACUUGUAGUUUCACUUUUUAUUGUUUUUACCAUUUCAAGCGAUUUACUAACUAACAAUCAUGAUGAAAUACAAAGUAACAUUCAAAACGACCAACAAAUGGAUAUAAAUGAAAAAAAUAUAUUUGGAAAUAUAAAAAAACGUUUUACUAGUAGAGAAAAAAAAUUGGACAACAUUAAUCCUAAACAUCGUAUGUCUCACUUUAUAAAAAAAAAUAUUCCAUUAUAUAAAUCUAAGCAAGAUAAUAAAAUAAAAUACGAUACAAAUGAAAAUAAUAGCAAUAUUAAUUAUUAUUAUAAAGAAGUGAAUGUUAAUAAUGAUCCUAUUGAUGACCUUUCUAACAUAUCAAAUCAAAUAUCAUUAAAAAAUAAACAAAAAGAAUAUUUUCGAUUUUCAAAUAUCAUAAUUUAUUUAAAAGAAAAAACACAACAAUUAAGUAAUGCCAUAUUUACUUAUAAAUACAAAUGUUUAUUUGCAAUUUGUUUAUUCAGAUUUGCCUCAGCAUUUUCUUCCAACUUAAUGAGUAACAUUUUUUUUGUUUUCUAUAACGACAACGUUAUUUCUGGUAAGGCACAUUAUAUAUGC
RNAcentral lists this long non-coding RNA (1096 nucleotides) under Piliocolobus tephrosceles (Ugandan red Colobus). Its description in RNAcentral is "lncRNA (ENSPTEG00000013335.1)". Lineage: Eukaryota; Metazoa; Chordata; Mammalia; Primates; Cercopithecidae. The record is from RNAcentral.